RNAcentral lists this long non-coding RNA (1753 nucleotides) under Gossypium barbadense (sea-island cotton). RNAcentral's name for it is "long non-coding RNA (GBAR_LNC016301)". Lineage: Eukaryota; Viridiplantae; Streptophyta; Magnoliopsida; Malvales; Malvaceae. The record is from RNAcentral.
CUAGAAUUUGGUUGGAAGUUAUAAAGAUUUAAAAUUUGUCGUCAUCUUCUAUUCGUUUCUUUCUUUUUGUUGUUCUUUUCUUUCCUUUCCUUUUCUUUUCUCUUUUCGAUUCUUUUAUUUUUCUUUUUCAUUUUGAUCACGGUCAUAAGCAUGGGUCUAGACGAAGUUAUACGUCGUUAAUUGUAUCGAUCAAAAGGUUAUUGAGUAAGUUUCACCAUCAAUUCAGUAAAUUCCGUAGUUUCUUUUAUUGUUUUCGUAGAAUGUUCUAAAUUCGGCAUCUCGAGCGUAUUGUGUAGUUUCUGAUAAUUAGUCGUUUGGUUUCCUCUUAGUCGGGGAUAUCGAGAGUAGCAUACCUCAACUCAACAAUUCAAGUGACCAUUGUUGACCUUCCGGUAAGUUUGAUUUCGUUGGAAGGUUUCAUGUCGAAACCUUCGACAUAAAGUAUUAUGUGUAUAGGUGUGCAUUAUUGUCGAUAAAGUUGGUUGGCUGAGUUAUUGGAUGGUCAUUUUAGGCUUCGGAGAUCCUCUACAUUGUUAUUGCUUCGAAAUCUCUUCAAGUGCGUACCGAAAACCUUAAAUUUUGUGAAUCUUAGGCACCGAAAAACAUGGCUGUCGAUGCCACAUGGCCGUGUGAUAGGCCGUGUAACACACUACUUACCAAAUUCGAGCCACCUGGGUAGGGGACACGGACGUGUUCCCCCAUCAUGUGUGGGCAUGCUAAUGUAGGGUUCACACGGGCCAAGGACACAGGUGUGUGUGUGCAGGCCGUGUAUCUCGUUGAGUACAAGAUAAGGACCACCCAGGCCAGAGACACGAGCGUGUGUCCAGGUCAUGUGGCUUACUGUUUGAGAUUUAGGAUCACGCGAGUAGACCACAGGGGCGUGUGUUAGGCCGUGUAAGACACACGGCUGAUCACACGGGCGUGUGCCAGGCCAUGUGGAAUCACACGAGCAUGUGGGUCAGUUUUAGAAGUCAUCUAUGGGGUCGUAAGUGUUGUUAACGCAAAUGUAAGCUGUCUGUAAUGUAUAUGUAUGAUCUGAAUUUGGUCGUAAGAUUGUUAUCUAAUAAUUUGAGAUUGAGAUUCUGAUUAUACAAAUGUUUACUGAAUCUGAACGACUGUGUGUACAUUUUGACAUGUGUAAUCUGUAACUGCAUUAGGUGGGAAAUCAUGUAAAGAAGCAAGUGACCUGUUCUGAUUCGGUGGCUAGACCACUACUUAUAUGUGAGUUCAGCGUUACUCGCCUAUUGAUCUGGAAGCUAGGUUGCAAACAUUCUGAAAAGUGUCAUAUUGACACUAAGCGGUGUGUAAGGCAUGAGGGGUAUUCUAUACCCUAAAUGAUGUGUUGGGAUGGACGGAGAUGGUGUGUAGAGGAUUGGGGUAGGAAUAACUGCAUUUGUUUCUGAUUUGUUCUGUAUCUGAACUGGAACUAUUCUAUUAUAAAAUUGAUACAAUAAAUCCAUACUAAAUGUCUUCUGAUUCUGAUUGGAACUUGAGAUCCGAUAACUACUUUUAUCAUUGUGCUUUAGUUAAAUCUAUUACUGUUAUGCAUUGGGUUUACAACUCAUUUUGUGUUGACUGAAUUUUAGGUGGGUCGCAGACUUGAUCGGGUCGGCGUAGUGGAAGCUCAGUCAAUCACUUUAUCACCCUUUAAUUAUACUAUUAGUAAAUUUCAGUAUUCUCUAGUAAUACGAUCUUUGAUGACGGUUGAAUGUUGGUUGAUUCUAUGAUUGCUAUAACGUGUUGAAUGAUUUUC